RNAcentral lists this long non-coding RNA (893 nucleotides) under Ananas comosus (pineapple). RNAcentral describes it as "long non-coding RNA (ACOM_LNC037130)". The record is from RNAcentral. Lineage: Eukaryota; Viridiplantae; Streptophyta; Magnoliopsida; Poales; Bromeliaceae.
AAAGUUUGGAUACAAAAAUUGCUGAAUUUCAACUUUUAUAAUAAAAUUUUACAAAUACAGUGUAAAAAAAAAAUCAUAUAUCUAGCUGACUUAUUUUUUUUUAGAGCGAUUCUCCGAUACACCACUUUAAUCAUAUCCGUUAAUUUACUACAGUAAACAGCUAUGAUUUAGUAAGGUAAAGCCGCUGACCGGCUAUUAGGGCUGGCAAAUGAGCGAGCUGGCUCGUGUUCGACUCGCGUUCGGCUCGAUAUUCGGCUCGCUCGAGCUCGGCUCGAAUUAAUUUCAAGUCGAGCUUGAGCCUAAAUUUAGGCUCGAAAUUAAUUUCAAGCCAAGCUUGAGUAUUACCGAGCUCGCUCGAAUUAGGCUUGAAAAGCUCGAAAUAUAUAUAUAUACAUAUAUAUAUAUAGAAAAAGUCUACUAUAUUAUUAAUAGUACCAACCACUUGCUAUUAGAUUUUCGGCCUUGGAUGAAGGGAUGUGCGGUUAGAAUGAUAGUGAUUCCCAAGAGUUGAGUGGGUGGUUAGUUGAAUAGUAUGAUCUAUUGAGUGAAACUGGUCAAACGGAUAGAUCUAACGGCAAAAAAUUCGACAGCACUAAGCAUUUGGUAUUAUUGAUAAUAUAGUAGCCGGACUCUCUCUCUAUAUAUAUAGUUCGGCUAUUAUACUAUCUAUAGUAUCAAUUAUUUUGUGCUAUUGAGUUUUCUGCCGUUAGAUCUACCUAUACAUAUAGAGUCCGGCUACUAUACUAUUGAUAAUACUAAGCAUUUAAUGCUAUCGAGUUUUCUGCAAUUAGAUCUACCCCCUUUGGCCAUUUUCAUCCGUUAAAUCAUACUAUUCAAUUAUCCACCUCCUCAACCUUAGGGGGCUCCUAUCAUCCUGACCACACAUCCAUUCA